CACAUUUGCAUUCUGGUUGGGCAAAGAUUACAAGCUGGGCAUGGUGGCUCAAGCCUGUAAUCCAGAAGAAUUUACUGUAUGCAAACAUUGUGUGGGGCUCUGGAUACACAGAAAUACUAAAAUGCCAUCUUGAACCAUAAGUGAAUUUAAAUGUCAAGUUUUAUAGUGUAAUAAAAAUAUCUCUGAAAAGUCAUUUGGACAAGGUAACUUCUACUACCACAGAACGCCUUCCCAGUCUUCUGGGUGUGAAAAAUCAACAUCUCACUUUUUCCCCCCUUCUAA
This 282-nucleotide long non-coding RNA is filed under the name Pan troglodytes (chimpanzee). RNAcentral's name for it is "long non-coding RNA NONPTRT010634". The record is from RNAcentral. Lineage: Eukaryota; Metazoa; Chordata; Mammalia; Primates; Hominidae.